This 392-nucleotide ribosomal RNA is filed under the name uncultured bacterium. Its description in RNAcentral is "partial 16S ribosomal RNA". It matches the Rfam family "Bacterial small subunit ribosomal RNA", at positions 523 to 918 of the family's 1533-position model. The record is from RNAcentral.
AUACGGAGGAUGCGAGCGUUAUCCGGAUUUAUUGGGUUUAAAGGGCGCGCAGGCGGCGAGGCAAGUCCGGUGUGAAAGUGCUCGGCUCAACCGAGUGAUGCGCUGGAAACUGCCCUGCUUGAGUACAGGAGGGGACGUCGGAAUUCCAGGUGUAGGGGUGAAAUCUGUAGAUAUCUGGAAGAACACCGGUGGCGAAGGCGGACGUCUGGCCAUUUACUGACGCUGAGGCGCGAAGGUGCGGGGAGCGAACAGGUUUAGAUACCCUGGUAGUCCGCACAGUAAACGAUGUGCACCAGGUGGCGGGGGGUAGCCCUCGGUACCGAAGCCAACGCAUUAAGUGCACCGCCUGGGGAGUAUGCUCGCAAGGGUGAAACUCAAAUGAAUUGACGGGG